AUACGUAGGUGGCGAGCGUUGUCCGGAUUUACUGGGUGUAAAGGGUGCGUAGGCGGAUGUUUAAGUCAGAUGUGAAAUACCCGGGCUCAACUUGGGUGCUGCAUUUGAAACUGGAUAUCUAGAGUGCAGGAGAGGAAAGCGGAAUUCCUAGUGUAGCGGUGAAAUGCGUAGAGAUUAGGAAGAACACCGGUGGCGAAGGCGGCUUUCUGGACUGUAACUGACGCUGAGGCACGAAAGCGUGGGGAGCAAACAGGAUUAGAUACCCUGGUAGUCACGCCGUAAACUAUGAAUACUAGGUAUGGGGGAGCGAUACCUCCGUGCCGCAGUCAACGCAUUAAGUAUUCCACCUGGGGAGUACGAUCGCAAGAUUAAA
RNAcentral lists this ribosomal RNA (373 nucleotides) under uncultured bacterium. RNAcentral describes it as "bacterial SSU rRNA". It matches the Rfam family "Bacterial small subunit ribosomal RNA", at positions 523 to 898 of the family's 1533-position model. The record is from RNAcentral.